This 539-nucleotide ribosomal RNA is filed under the name uncultured bacterium. Its description in RNAcentral is "partial 16S ribosomal RNA". It matches the Rfam family "Bacterial small subunit ribosomal RNA", at positions 355 to 887 of the family's 1533-position model. The record is from RNAcentral.
UGGGGAAUUUUGGACAAUGGGGGAAACCCUGAUCCAGCCAUCCCGCGUGUGCGAUGAAGGCCUUCGGGUUGUAAAGCACUUUUGGCAGGAAAGAAACGUCGCGGGUUAAUACCCCGCGAAACUGACGGUACCUGCAGAAUAAGCACCGGCUAACUACGUGCCAGCAGCCGCGGUAAUACGUAGGGUGCAAGCGUUAAUCGGAAUUACUGGGCGUAAAGCGUGCGCAGGCGGUUCGGAAAGAAAGAUGUGAAAUCCCAGAGCUUAACUUUGGAACUGCAUUUUUAACUACCGGGCUAGAGUGUGUCAGAGGGAGGUGGAAUUCCGCGUGUAGCAGUGAAAUGCGUAGAUAUGCGGAGGAACACCGAUGGCGAAGGCAGCCUCCUGGGAUAACACUGACACUCAUGCACGAAAGCGUGGGGAGCAAACAGGAUUAGAUACCCUGGUAGUCCACGCCCUAAACGAUGUCAACUAGCUGUUGGGGCCUUCGGGCCUUGGUAGCGCAGCUAACGCGUGAAGUUGACCGCCUGGGGAGUACGGUC